UCAUAAACAACCAGGAUGUUGGCUCAGAAGCAGCCACCAUUUAAAGAGUGCGUAAUAGCUCACUGGUCGAGAGGCCCUGCGCCGAAGAUUCCCGGGGCUAAAGUAUGGAACCGAAGCUACGGAUGCGGUACUUGUACCGCGUGGUAGAGGAGCGUUCCCAUUGGGUUGAAGUCGUCCUGGAAGGGACGGUGGACUGGUGGGAAGUGAGAAUGUUGGCAUGAGUAGCGAAAAGAUAGGUGAGAAUCCUAUCCACCGAAAGCAUAAGGAUUCCUGAGCAACGAUCGUCGUCUCAGGGUAAGUCGGGACCUAAUCCGAGGCAUGGAGCGUAGGAGAUGGACAACUGGUUGAUAUUCCAGUACCGGCAGCAAUCGUUUGAACGAUGGAGUGACGCAGGAAGGCAGGUCCGCGCGAGAAUGGUAGAUCGCGUACAAGCGUGCAGGCUGGUGCACAGGCAAAUCCGUGUACUGAGGCUGAGGCGUGAUGUGGAGGGAACUUGUUCCCGAAGGGAUUGAGCCUACGCUGCCGAGAAAAGCUUCUAGUGAGAAAGCUGCCGCCCGUACCGUAAACCGACACAGGUAUGCGGGGAGAGAAUCCUAAGGUGCGCGGGAGAACCCUCGUUAAGGAACUCGGCAAAAUGUACCCGUAACUUCGGGAUAAGGGUAGCCACAGUGGUGAAGGGACUUGCUCCUGGAGCCUAGUGUGGUCGCAGAGAAGAGGCCCAAGCGACUGUUAACCAGAAACACAGGUGCCUGCGAAAGAGAAAUCUGAUGUAUAGGUGCUGACACCUGCCCAGUGCUGGAAGGUUAAAGAAGGAUGUCCGGGUUCGACCCAAAGCAUUUGACUGAAGCCCCAGUGAACGGCGGCCGUAACUAUAACGGUCCUAAGGUAGCGAAAUUCCUUGUCGGGUAAGUUCCGACCCGCACGAAAGGCGUAAUGAUUUGGGCACUGUCUCAACGAGGGACCCGGUGAAAUUGAAAUACCUGUGAAGAUGCAGGUUACCCGCGACUGGACAGAAAGACCCCAUGGAGCUUUACUGUAACCUAAUAUUGGGUUCUGAUAUUCGACGCACAGGAUAGGUGGGAGGCUUGGAGCAUGGUCCUCUGGGAUCAUGGGAGCCGCCGUUGGGAUACCACCCUUCGAAUAUCGGGAUUCUAACCGCAGGAGCAACGAUCCUCGGGACAGUGUUAGGCGGGCAGUUUGACUGGGGCGGUCGCCUCCUAAAGAGUAACGGAGGCGCCCAAAGGUUCCCUCAGCGCGGACGGAAACCGCGCGACGAGUGUAAAGGCAGAAGGGAGCUUGACUGCGAGCCAAACACGGCGAGCAGGUACGAAAGUAGGGCUUAGUGAUCCGGUGGCAUCCAAGUGGAAGGGCCAUCGCUCAACGGAUAAAAGCUACCCUGGGGAUAACAGGCUAAUCUCUCCCAAGAGUCCAUAUCGACGGGGAGGUUUGGCACCUCGAUGUCGGCUCAUCACAUCCUGGGGCUGAAGUCGGUCCCAAGGGCUGGGCUGUUCGCCCAUUAAAGUGGUACGUGAGCUGGGUUCAGAACGUCGUGAGACAGUUCGGUCCCUAUCCAUCGCGGGCG
RNAcentral lists this ribosomal RNA (1582 nucleotides) under human gut metagenome. RNAcentral describes it as "bacterial LSU rRNA". It matches the Rfam family "Bacterial large subunit ribosomal RNA", at positions 1083 to 2653 of the family's 2925-position model. The record is from RNAcentral.